RNAcentral lists this long non-coding RNA (387 nucleotides) under Rattus norvegicus (Norway rat). RNAcentral's name for it is "long non-coding RNA NONRATT007543". Lineage: Eukaryota; Metazoa; Chordata; Mammalia; Rodentia; Muridae. The record is from RNAcentral.
AGGAUUUCCAGGCUCUUUCUGAAGGACCCUGCUGCAGACACGUCUCGGUUCCAGCGUCUUUGAGGAGGCACAUUGGCGGUUGGCAUCUCUUUCCAACUGUCAGCUCAGUGUUACAGCGUGCUUUCUUCCCGCUGACAUCAUUUCUAGGAAUAGACACCAAUUACCACCCCAAACCCGGCGCCGAGCAGGAAAUGAAGUGGCAUAUGAUUCGAUUCUGACGAGUGAGAGUCUGUGCAGUACCCAGCAGGCACGAGCCCCUUUCUGGGAUGUUUUUCCCACUGUAUCUUUUCAUGCAAAUGCCAACCUGCUGGGUCGGCAACUUUCAGAGGCCGCUGCAGCUGCGACAUGGGGCAGUUGGCCUUUUAUUUCCGUUAAGAUUCGGGGGUG